Molecule: microRNA precursor, 80 nt
Filed under: Medicago truncatula (barrel medic)
Lineage: Eukaryota; Viridiplantae; Streptophyta; Magnoliopsida; Fabales; Fabaceae
Description: MIR5298 microRNA precursor family
Rfam family: MIR5298 microRNA precursor family
Source: Rfam by way of RNAcentral
UUAUGUUUUCUUCAUUUUCUUCUGGGAUUCUUGUUGUUGAAGGUUGACGGGGAUGAUAUGAAGAUGAAAAAGAGGAGAAU